AACGCGAAGAACCUUACCAGGGCUUGACAUAUGCAGGAAUAUGUUAGAGAUAACAUAGCUCUUCGGAGUCUGCAUACAGGUGGUGCAUGGUUGUCGUCAGCUCGUGUCGUGAGAUGUUGGGUUAAGUCCCGCAACGAGCGCAACCCCUGUGAUUAGUUGCCAGCACGUAAUGGUGGGAACUCUAAUCAGACUGCCGGUGAUAAAUCGGAGGAAGGUGGGGACGACGUCAAAUCAUCAUGCCCUUUAUGUCCUGGGCUACACACGUACUACAAUGGCCGCUACAGAGGGAAGCGAAGUAGUGAUAUGGAGCAAAACCCUAAAAACGGUCUCAGUUCGGAUUGAAGGCUGAAAUUCGCCUUCAUGAAGCUGGAAUUGCUAGUAAUGGCAGGUCAGCAUACUGCCGUGAAUACGUUCCCGGGGUCUUGUACACACCG
RNAcentral lists this ribosomal RNA (434 nucleotides) under uncultured rumen bacterium. Its description in RNAcentral is "bacterial SSU rRNA". It matches the Rfam family "Bacterial small subunit ribosomal RNA", at positions 958 to 1392 of the family's 1533-position model. The record is from RNAcentral.